Tigriopus californicus is the source of this 265-nucleotide long non-coding RNA. RefSeq lists it as uncharacterized. NCBI's taxonomy places the organism in Eukaryota, Metazoa, Arthropoda, Copepoda, Harpacticoida, Harpacticidae. The transcript has 2 exons. The record is from RefSeq and is a predicted model, not a curated record.
GGUCAUAGAAGAAUGUUGUUUAAUUGAACGAAGGUAGUGUGCAUAAUUUUACAUGCAUACAAAAUGAAGUCAACAUGAAGCUUAGCGAAGGUAAUAGUGCUUGUUUGGAAAUGGUCCACAAUACAACGGCUGCAAUGGUCCACAUUGGCAUCCCAAAGAUGUGGAUGAGUUUUGGCAACAAGUUUUUUGAUUUCGUUACCUGUACUUUUUUUUCUGACCUGAUUAUCAUGAAUAGGGAUCGAAAAGAUACUUUUUUGCGGACUUA